CGCCUUGCCAGCCCGCUCAGAACUUAAAGGAAGUUGACGGGGCCGCGACAAGCGAGGAGCAUGUGGUUUAAUUCGAUGAUACGCGAGGAACCUUACCUGGGCUCGAACGUAAGAUGACUGUAGGUGAAAGCUUACAUCUCUUCGGAGCAUUUUACGAGGUGCUGCAUGGUUGUCGUCAGCUCGUGCCGUGAGGUGUCGGGUUAAGUCCCAUAACGAGCGCAACCCCUACCUUUAGUUGCCAUCAGGUUAAGCUGGGGACUCUAAAGGAACUGCCUACGCAAGUAGUGAGGAAGGCGGGGAUGACGUCAAAUCAGCACGGCCCUUACGUCCAGGGCUACACACGUGCUACAAUGGCCGAUACAGAGGGCAGCUACCUGGUGACAGGAUGCAAAUCUCCAAAGUCGGUCUCAGUUCGGAUCGGAGUCUGCAACCCGACUCCGUGAAGUUGGAUUCGCUAGUAAUCGCGCAUCAGCCAUGGCGCGGUGAAUACGUUCCCGGGCCUU
This 503-nucleotide ribosomal RNA is filed under the name uncultured Sphingobacteriales bacterium. RNAcentral describes it as "bacterial SSU rRNA". It matches the Rfam family "Bacterial small subunit ribosomal RNA", at positions 903 to 1382 of the family's 1533-position model. The record is from RNAcentral. Lineage: Bacteria; Pseudomonadati; Bacteroidota; Sphingobacteriia; Sphingobacteriales.